Salmo salar (Atlantic salmon) is the source of this 54-nucleotide non-coding RNA. Lineage: Eukaryota; Metazoa; Chordata; Actinopteri; Salmoniformes; Salmonidae. The record is from Rfam.
UGCAUUCACUACUGUAAGUCAUUCUGGAUAAGAGUGUCUGCUAAAUGACUAAAA